RNAcentral lists this ribosomal RNA (499 nucleotides) under uncultured bacterium. Its description in RNAcentral is "partial 16S ribosomal RNA". It matches the Rfam family "Bacterial small subunit ribosomal RNA", at positions 28 to 507 of the family's 1533-position model. The record is from RNAcentral.
GACGAACGCUGGCGGCGUGCUUAACACAUGCAAGUCGAACGGGCCCGCCCCUGUUUUUGGGGGUGGGUUGAGUGGCGAACGGGUGAGUAUCACGUGAGUAACCUGCCCCCUGCUCCUGGAUAACUGCUUGAAAGGGCGGCUAAUACGGGGUGUGCCGACUGGUCCGCAUGGGCCUGGUCGGGAUAGUUUCAUCUUCGGGGGUUUCGGUGGGGGAUGGGCUCGCGGCCUAUCAGCUUGUUGGUGGGGUGAUGGCCGACCAAGGCGGUGACGGGUAGCCGGCCUGAGAGGGUGCGCGGCCACACUGGGACUGAGACACGGACCAGACUCCUGCGGGAGGCAGCAGUGGGGGGUAUUGCACAAUGGGCGGAAGCCUGAUGCAGCGACGUCGCGUGAGGGAUGGAGGCCUUCGGGUUGUGAACCUCUUUCUCCGGUGGUGAAGGCCCUGUCCGUUGCGGCGGGGUUGACGGUAGCCGGGUAUGAAGCGCCGGCUAACUACGUG